GUAGGAGCCGGCUUGCCGGCGAUAGCGUCAGCAAGGUUGCUGCAAGGCCUGUGGGCCCUAUCGCCGGCAAGCCGGCUCCUAC
RNAcentral lists this unclassified non-coding RNA (82 nucleotides) under Pseudomonas chlororaphis. Lineage: Bacteria; Pseudomonadati; Pseudomonadota; Gammaproteobacteria; Pseudomonadales; Pseudomonadaceae. The record is from RNAcentral.